UUAGGCGGUUUCAGUUCUGUCGUGGGGUGGUGGGUUAAAUUCCGCAAAGAGCGCAACCCUUGUCGUUUGGUGGUCAGCAAGAGCACUUUAAGAAUAUUACCGGAGACACACCGGAGGAAGUGAGGGAGGAGGUCAAGUCGUCAUGUCCUUUAGGGCUAGGGGUUCACGGGUCCUCCAAUGGUCGGGACAGAGGGUCGCCAACCCGCGAGGGGGAGCCAAUCUCAGAAACCCUAUAAUCGUUUGGAUGGCAGUAUGCAACUCGACAACUUGAAGUCGGAAUGGUGGGUAAUCGCGUAUCAGAAUGUCGCGAAGAAUACGUUGCCGGGUUUUGUACACACCGCCCGUCACACCAUCGAGCCGGUUUCACCGGAAGUACGGUAGCGCAUCUAACAAGGAGGGCGCUACUCA
This 408-nucleotide ribosomal RNA is filed under the name bacterium 14S432. RNAcentral describes it as "bacterial SSU rRNA". It matches the Rfam family "Bacterial small subunit ribosomal RNA", at positions 1044 to 1460 of the family's 1533-position model. The record is from RNAcentral.